UGGGGAAUCUUGGACAAUGGGGGCAACCCUGAUCCAGCCAUGCCGCGUGAGUGAUGAAGGCCUUAGGGUCGUAAAGCUCUUUCGCCUGUGAAGAUAAUGACGGUAGCAGGUAAAGAAACCCCGGCUAACUCCGUGCCAGCAGCCGCGGUAAUACGGAGGGGGUUAGCGUUGUUCGGAAUUACUGGGCGUAAAGCGCACGUAGGCGGACCAGAAAGUUGGGGGUGAAAUCCCGGGGGCUCAACCCCGGAACUGCCUCCAAAACUAUUGGUCUAGAGUUCGAGAGAGGUGAGUGGAAUUCCAAGUGUAGAGGUGAAAUUCGUAGAUAUUUGGAGGAACACCAGUGGCGAAGGCGGCUCACUGGCUCGAUACUGACGCUGAGGUGCGAAAGUGUGGGGAGCAAACAGGAUUAGAUACCCUGGUAGUCCACACCGUAAAACGAUGAAUGCCAGUCGUCGGGUAGCAUGCUAUUCGGUGACACACCUAACGGAUUAAGCAUUCCGCCUGGGGAGUACGGUCGCAAGAUUAAAACU
This 530-nucleotide ribosomal RNA is filed under the name uncultured bacterium. RNAcentral's name for it is "bacterial SSU rRNA". It matches the Rfam family "Bacterial small subunit ribosomal RNA", at positions 355 to 901 of the family's 1533-position model. The record is from RNAcentral.